CGCGCAUGUCUUGAUCGCUUGACGGCCAACAAACGGUACAACUGACGGCACGACAUACCUUUAUAAGCUGCACGUUAUGUUAAUAAAUAAUAAUUUAUUAUUCAGUUCACGGCGAGUCUGUUUCGAAGGAUAUUUAAAUUGAAAGGCUUAGCCUAUUUUUACCAGUAUGAAGCCGGUUUUCAACGGUUGCUGCAAACGGCAAGCACGCAGUUCAAGUCAUCACUGGAGUGACCUGUGCAUAACUUUGGAUGAGAGAAGACUCAACGCCUGACUUAAAUCUUGCGAAAUUACGGUGAACUUGAGGAUCCUGAAUUUUGUUUUUUGAGAGGAGGGCGCACCAGAGCCUUUGAGGGCAUGCAUUGUAACGUGAGAGUUCACACCACCAGAAGAUGCAUUGUAACCAAGUCCACAAAGACCCCCCCCCCCAGUGCAAGCUGAAGGACACAAAUGGCGUGACCGUUUGCAUUGACGGACUCUUCUAAGAGUUGGUCGUUUUUAGGGUGUAACAUGGCAACAGAUCAUCUUCAGUAGCCUAUUAUAUAUUUUUGGAAUGCCUUUAAAGAGUAGAUGUGAUUUAAGCUAUAAUUAGUUAUAUUCCACCCUUCUAUGUGCUUGUUAACACCAUCUUUCAGUGGGACAUGACCGUUUGCAUUGACGGACUCUUCUAAGAGUUGGUAGUUUUUAGGGUGUAACAUGGGGACAGAUGAUCUUAGGUAGCCUAAAUCAUAUAUGUUUUCAUUGUGGGAGUACAAUUAAUCACCAAAAGAUUCGUUUUUAUACAGGUUUUAGUAAACUUUACCCAAGGGUGCCAAUAAUUCUAGAGGGUACUGUCGCUAUUGCUGUUAUUGUUAAGACAAAGUUGUACUCAACACUAAGUUAUACAUGUGAGUUCUCAAACACUGUCCACUUACCUAUGUGGUGCACCCCUCAGCUUUAAGCUUGUACAUCUAGUGUUUAUGUUAGCUAACUGUAUCUUAAUGUGGUGCUAUCAGAGCAAGAUAUUAGAAAUGGCGUAUGAUGUACAGGGACUCGUAGUUUAUUAUGGUAUUGCGGUCAUUCGGUACAGUUACUACCAUUUGCGUUGGCACCUCUGCCAUACCAGAACAGUGUUUCGGUGCCCAACCAGUUAUAAUACAUUGAUGUGAAUGAAGUGCAUUCAAAAUGAAAAAUGGUCAACUCAAGGUGAUUCUCUUUCACAGAAAACCUCGGAAGCCAAAGAAGUAGAUGAGGGCUUGACUCAGUGACACCCAAGCGAAAAACCCAUUGCAGUAAUCCCUACUGGAGAUGAAUACACCAAUAAGUUAUCUAAAUCAUGUUUUGUCAUUUUGACCUCCUACCUUAUGACUCUACCACUACACAUGAUUUGUGGAAAGAGGCACGCACACUCUAUUAAGUUCUGUUUAGUCUUAGACUUAUGUGGUAAUUUAUAUAUAUCACUCAUGACAAAGAAGGGGGGGUCUCUUGUAGCCUACUACAGAUAGAUAGAUAGAUAGAUAGAUAGAUGGAUACUUCAUUGAUCCCCAAGGGGAAAUUCAAGAGGUGAGGUGAUACUGAGGUGUAUUUACAGUCGGAAGUUGCAGAGCAUCUUCAAAAGGAUGAAAACCAAUACACUCUAUAACCUUGAAGGGUUUUGCCAAGAUGUGUUCUACUUCGAGUAUGCAAUA
Molecule: long non-coding RNA, 1664 nt
Organism: Sardina pilchardus (European sardine)
Lineage: Eukaryota; Metazoa; Chordata; Actinopteri; Clupeiformes; Clupeidae
Exons: 3
Source: RefSeq, a predicted model, not a curated record